This 150-nucleotide unclassified non-coding RNA is filed under the name uncultured Ophiostomatales. Its description in RNAcentral is "sequence contains ITS1". Lineage: Eukaryota; Fungi; Ascomycota; Sordariomycetes; Ophiostomatales. The record is from RNAcentral.
CAGAGUUCUUUGCAACUCCCAACCCUGUGAACCGUACCAAUUUUCGUUGUUGCUUCUGGCAGGCGGGGGCCCCAGGCCCCCCUGCCAGCGGCAGCCUGCUCCCACCUUCUUUUUGUAUCUUACCGUCUGAGCUUUUAAAAAAAUACAUCA